Molecule: ribosomal RNA, 420 nt
Filed under: uncultured archaeon
Lineage: Archaea
Description: bacterial SSU rRNA
Rfam family: Archaeal small subunit ribosomal RNA
Source: RNAcentral
GCUGUCGAGAUGCCUAAAAAGCAUUUCAUAGCAAGGGCCGGGCAAGACCGGUGCCAGCCGCCGCGGUAACACCGGCGGCUCGAGUGGUAACCGUUAUUAUUGGGUCUAAAGGGUCUGUAGCCGGCCGGAUAAGUCUCUUGAGAAAUCUGGCAGCUUAACUGUCAGGCUUUCAGGAGAUACUGUCUGGCUCGAGGCCGGGAGAGGUGAGAGGUACUUCAGGGGUAGGGGUGAAAUCUUGUAAUCCUUGAAGGACCACCAGUGGCGAAGGCGUCUCACCAGAACGGACCUGACGGCAAGGGACGAAAGCUAGGGGCACGAACCGGAUUAGAUACCCGGGUAGUCCUAGCCGUAAACGAUACUCGCUAGGUGUCGGCCACGGUGCGACCGUUGUCGGUGCCGUAGGGAAGCCGUGAAGCGAGC